RNAcentral lists this unclassified non-coding RNA (495 nucleotides) under Hevea brasiliensis (rubber tree). The record is from RNAcentral. Lineage: Eukaryota; Viridiplantae; Streptophyta; Magnoliopsida; Malpighiales; Euphorbiaceae.
GAACCCUCUUAGUGAUGGGACUUUUAUUCUAUUGAAAUCAUCAAUCAAUUUUUCACAACAUCAAUAACAUGCAAAAUAGAAACAAAUGGACAACUGUUCCAAAAUAUGCUAAACAGUGUUUGAAAACCAUAUCAGACCCAAUAUGGCAGGUAAUAAAAGCAGAGAAAUAAGAACAAGAUCUUCAUCCAUGAGGCUUAAAUACAAAUUUUGUUUUGCUCAACUACAUUUUUUUUUUCUCCUUCAUAGAAUUGUUUCAUAUAAAGUUCAUAUGAUUAAAAUCUCCAACAAAAAAAGGUAAGCAGACAAAUAUAAGCAGUCUGAGUUAUAUUAACCAUUUCUUACUUAUUGAUGUCAUGCCACAUAUCCAAAGGGCAGCAGAUUCACUUGAAACAUUAUUUUGCGCUCAGAGAUAUUGGGCAUGAACCAACAGAGGAAGACUGUCACUCCAAUGUAGCAAAACCAAGGGCCAACGCAUAAGUCUAUCCAGCUUAUGCU